RNAcentral lists this long non-coding RNA (276 nucleotides) under Gossypium barbadense (sea-island cotton). RNAcentral's name for it is "long non-coding RNA (GBAR_LNC019342)". Lineage: Eukaryota; Viridiplantae; Streptophyta; Magnoliopsida; Malvales; Malvaceae. The record is from RNAcentral.
UUAAUUUCACAAUUUAGCCCUAUUUACUCAAUUUCACUAAAAAUUCCAAUACAAAAUAUAUUAAUCUAACAAAUAUAUUUCAUAUUUCACCUACUAACAUCAUAAAACUCAAGCAUUCAUCAAUGGCACAUUUCAAAAUCAUCCACAAUUCACAAAAUUAAGAUAUGGGUUUUGAAGAACACGAAGCAACGAUCUCAAAAACGUAAAAAUUAUCAAAAACUGAAGUAAAACAUACCUUGAAUUAAGCUUGUUAAUGACCGAAUACCUCAAAGCUUU